RNAcentral lists this non-coding RNA (96 nucleotides) under pig gut metagenome. RNAcentral describes it as "SAM riboswitch (S box leader)". It matches the Rfam family "SAM riboswitch aptamer (S box leader)". From Rfam's summary of the family: The SAM riboswitch is found upstream of a number of genes which code for proteins involved in methionine or cysteine biosynthesis in Gram-positive bacteria. The SAM riboswitch acts at the level of transcription termination control. The record is from RNAcentral.
CUUAUCGAGAGAGGCUGAGGGACCAGGCCCUUUGAAGCCCGGCAACCUGCGUCUUGGCGCGUGGUGCCAAUUCCUGCGGAAAUAUCCGAAAGAUGG